RNAcentral lists this ribosomal RNA (1108 nucleotides) under Bacteriovorax sp. o6-6b. RNAcentral describes it as "bacterial SSU rRNA". It matches the Rfam family "Bacterial small subunit ribosomal RNA", at positions 64 to 1200 of the family's 1533-position model. The record is from RNAcentral. Lineage: Bacteria; Pseudomonadati; Bdellovibrionota; Bacteriovoracia; Bacteriovoracales; Bacteriovoracaceae.
GAAUUUCGCAGAGUGCCAAUUUUUCGUGUCACCACAAAUCGCUAACUCUUCGGGAUGAGUACAGUGGCGCACGGGUGAGUAACACGUAGGUGACCUGCCUAUUAGCGGGGGAUAACACGAAGAAAUUCGUGCUAAUACCGCAUACGCAAAGUGAAUUUGGAAGUAACUUUGGAAAGAAUGCCUCUCCUUGGAAGCAUUUACUAAUAGAUGGGCCUGCGUAGCAUUAGCUUGGUGGUGGGGUAACGGCCUACCAUGGCGACGAUGCUUAACUGGUCUGAGAGGAUGAUCAGUCACACUGGAACUGAGACACGGUCCAGACUCCUACGGGAGGCAGCAGUGGGGAAUAUUGCGCAAUGGGCGAAAGCCUGACGCAGCAAUGCCGCGUGAGUGAGGAAGGCCUUCGGGUUGUAAAGCUCUGUCAUAUGGAAAGAAUGGUUGUUGCUCUAACAGGGCAGCAAUUUGACGGUACCAUAAAAGGAAGCACCGGCUAACUUCGUGCCAGCAGCCGCGGUAAUACGAAGGGUGCAAGCGUUGUUCGGAUUUAUUGGGCGUAAAGCGCGCGCAGGCGGAUUAUUAAGCCAGAUGUGAAAUCUCGGGGCUCAACCCCGAAACUGCGUCUGGAACUGGUAAUCUAGAAUCUUGGAGGGGGAAGCGGUAUUUCGCAUGUAGGGGUAAUAUCCGUAGAGAUGCGAAGGAACACCAGAGCCGGAGGGGGCUUUCCUGGCCAAGUAUUGACGCUGAGCGCGAAAGCGUGGGGAGCAAACAGGAUUAGAUACCCUGGUAGUCCACGCCGUAAACGAUGUGCACUAGAUAUUGGAGACUUUGACCUCCUCAGUGUCGUAGCUAACGCAGUAGUGCACCGCCUGGGGGAGUACGGCGCAGUACUAAAACUCAAAGAUAUGACGGGGCCCGCCUAGCGGGGAUUAUGUGUUAAUUCAAGCAACCACCAAAUCUUACCUAGGCUGAAAUCCCGAGAAGAUCGACCAAUUGAUUUGUCUCUUUUUAAACUCGUGAACGGCCUGCUUGCUGCCUUCCUCNCGGUGUGCUAAAGGUGCCCUCCACGACCACCCUUUCUUAGGGCGUGGUGCUUGAACGCCUGGUUACGGGC